GACGAACGCUGGCGGCGUGCUUAACACAUGCAAGUCGAACGGUGAAGCUCCAGCUUGCUGGAGUGGAUCAGUGGCGAACGGGUGAGUAACACGUGAGCAACCUGCCCCUGACUCUGGAAUAAGCGCUGGAAACGGCGUCUAAUACUGGAUACGAGAAGGGUCCGCAUGGGCACUUCCUGGAAAGUUUUUCGGUUGGGGAUGGGCUCGCGGCCUAUCAGCUUGUUGGUGAGGUAAUGGCUCACCAAGGCGACGACGGGUAGCCGGCCUGAGAGGGCGACCGGCCACACUGGGACUGAGACACGGCCCAGACUCCUACGGGAGGCAGCAGUGGGGAAUAUUGCACAAUGGGCGAAAGCCUGAUGCAGCGACGCCGCGUGAGGGAUGACGGCCUUCGGGUUGUAAACCUCUUUCAGCAGGGAAGAAGCGAAAGUGACGGUACCUGCAGAAGAAGCACCGGCUAACUACGUG
RNAcentral lists this ribosomal RNA (468 nucleotides) under uncultured bacterium. RNAcentral's name for it is "partial 16S ribosomal RNA". It matches the Rfam family "Bacterial small subunit ribosomal RNA", at positions 28 to 507 of the family's 1533-position model. The record is from RNAcentral.